RNAcentral lists this long non-coding RNA (2028 nucleotides) under Strigops habroptila (Kakapo). RNAcentral's name for it is "lncRNA (ENSSHBG00005008720.1)". Lineage: Eukaryota; Metazoa; Chordata; Aves; Psittaciformes; Psittacidae. The record is from RNAcentral.
AAAAUGAAAAGUGAGCCUUUUUAUUGUAUUAUCAAUUUCACUUCUUAACAACAAUUCCACAAAAUAUUAAACACUGGGCAAGAAAUUGGUCUAUGGCACACCAGAAAUAAAAAUCAAAGAGAUCCAAAAAUGCAGACGUUAUGAGGAGCCUACAUUACAGACACCAAUUACUUCCUAAAUACAGUCUUUACAAACCUUGAUUUGUGUUUGGCAACAAGAUCAGAGUUUGGCAAAUAAUACUACUAAUUAUAAUAGGCCAGAGAGAAGAAAUUAAGAGCGCAAAAGUAUCAGACACGUGGCUUCUGUUCAAUGAAGUAAAUACAUUAGUUUGACUUUGUUAAAGUUGACUUUUUAAGUACUCGGAGGAAGGGGAAUUGGCUCCAGGCUCCGGAGGCUCCGGCACUGAGCCAUCAGCCGGUGUCAUGCGGGUGCCAGGCGUCUCCCAGCCAUCCCUGUGCCGGGAGCCCCCGGCCCUGUCCCCAGGUUACUAAGGGACUCCAAGCAGAUGCUCCCUGUCCCCCACUCCCAUCUCCAGCCGCGCUUUGGACCUAAACCUGUUGCCUCACCCCUCACUGGCCACCCCACCGCCAGUGUGACUCAGGCAAGACCCCAGGGAUGAGCGUGAUGGCCCAUGCGGGUGGGAGGACAAGGGGUAGACCCUGCUUCACUGGGCUGCGGCAGCAUCCCGCAGCAAGCCCCCCCAUGGGCCUGAGCUGCCCCAUCACCAUCCUGGGCACCGUGGAGGGCAGGGUGCAGGCAGGGGGUGCCGGGAAGCCCCCUCGGCAGCAUGAGACAGUGAUGGAUGGGGGGGACAACAGUCCCUGCCCAGGUCUCAAGCGGAGGAGCGGUGUAUGGCUCCUGCGGUAACCUCAGUCACUUGCUGCCGCACAGAGCGCAGGUAUUUCUGGCUGACCUGCAGCUCGGGCACUUGCCUGGGUCACCGGCUAUAGCACCAUGCACAGGUCUCUAACAUAGAGGAAGAAUCAGCAAUCUGGAGUAGAAAAAUAAGGCUGGAACUGUACUAGAUUAAGGACAGAGGAAGUUCCCUCAUGGAGAAGAGAAAGCCCUGCUGCGGCAAAACCCAGGCGCACCUCAGGACUGUGCUCGCUCCCCGCUACAGAUGCGGCAUUUGAGAGCUUAUGUUGGAUGAAAGAUUUAAAAGAAAAAUAAACAACAAAACCAAAAAGACAUCGCCUGUUGCUGUGCCAGGGCUGCUGCCCUUGGCUGCCAGACGAUGCUCAGCGUGGUGUCAGGCUGGGGUGCAAGUAGGGCUUGGGGGACAUGCUCAGCUGCAGAGGGAAAUAAAUCCACUUCCCUCUGCUCUGCCUCCCCCCAGCACUCACACAGGGACAGAGUGAAAUCCAGGGGAUCACAAGCAACCUGUCACAAGGCUGGUGCCAGGACAGGAGCCCAUGGCACAGCGGGGUGGGGGGAGACAGGAGGUGUAAAACGCUCAGAUCAGCAAAGGACCCCAGGAAAGCAGUUGCAAGACGUACACAGGAGGUGCCAAGGUUUGUGUUAGUGUUAAAAAUGCGUGUGUGGGGGGUUUCCAACUUCGUUUAAAAAGGCAAGUGACUUAAAGAAAGGGAUGGAAAGAUACCUGCAACCAAGAAGUGUAAAUGAAGCAGCUCUGCUAACCACAGCCUCCACCAACGCUGCCGAGCUGGCUGCAUGGCUGGUUGGUACUGGAGAGGUGCCAGCUGCACUCAGCCAAUACUCCACAGCCCACCUCUGCGUCACCGGAGGAAGAACCUCUGAAGCUGCCCUUCUUCCUGAUGACGACCCACCCUCCCUGGGUACCAGCCACAUAACUGCAGGCUCUGCUCCAAUCCCUGCCUUCGAGCCGGCCUCUGGCAUUGGAACACCAUCAGCCUCUGAAAAGCAGCCAGCAAAGCCUCCCAGUACCCUGCCUGGACCAUGAAGUCUGACCAGCCUAAGCAUUAUGCAAUAUGUGCUGCGAGGUUUCCUCCCUCCAACUGAAUCACAACAGAAAGUGUGAACAUGGCUUAACACCAAAAGGAGACCAGA